UUAGGUGUCUGAGACGGAAGUUCAGAAAGAUUUGUACUUAUGCCGCGAAAAUCUGAUAUUUGAUUUUAUUCUAUUCUGUGCCGUUAUCUUAGAUUAUUAGGAAAGUAUGACAAUACAUGUAUGGCAAUAGUAAGCCUGAGCAAAAUAAGGACGUCGUGGGUGUCAUUUGCUGUCAAACUGAACAGCAGAAGUCUUCGCAGAGCGUGCUCACCGUCGACACACUCCAGAUGUGGAUUUUACAGACUUGAGAAAAUUGAGGCUGUUUCUGACAAAGAUUGGCAAGUUCUGGAUGGCCAAAGCCGUGAACUGGGGGGAGGAUCCAUCAUGUUCUGCUCUUGACACCUUGACUCUCUGAGGAGCUUUCUCCAGCAAGUUCUGCAGGGGUUGCAGCAAAUGAGCUACACUAGUGAGGCCGUGAAGACGUUUCUUUUUUGGGGCCAGAUCCUGGGAAGACUUUGUUGGUAUCCUUGUGUUACUGAGGAUGAGAGGAGCCAGAGACUCCUGCUGUGUGUUUGAGCUGUCUGUACAGCGCUGAGCCGCUGAAUGCUGUCGAACCAAAAGCCAACAUGUGGAUCAAGGUGGUUUAGCCCAGAAGAAGAGACAAAGAAGAAUGAUGAUGCUUCCACAGAGCCACAGGGAGCCGUUUUUGUCUGUCAUUAAAGGGCCUGUUGCCCAUUCUUCCAUGAUCCAGCGCCAGCUGGACUCUCCCUUGCCAUAUCAGAGAGACCAGACCAUAGCUGAUGACCCCUCCACUCCUUCAGUGGUCC
Long non-coding RNA from Carassius gibelio (silver crucian carp), 767 nucleotides. RefSeq lists it as uncharacterized. The record is from RefSeq and is a predicted model, not a curated record. The transcript is spliced from 5 exons. Lineage: Eukaryota; Metazoa; Chordata; Actinopteri; Cypriniformes; Cyprinidae.